ACUCAAAGGAAUAGACGGGGGCCCGCACAAGCGGUGGAGCAUGUGGUUCAAUUCGACGCAACGCGAAGAACCUUACCUGGGUUUGAACUGUAGGUGACUGCCCUGGAAACAGGGCUUUUCUUCGGAACGCCUGCAGAGGUGCUGCAUGGCUGUCGUCAGCUCGUGUCGUGAGAUGUUGGGUUAAGUCCCGCAACGAGCGCAACCCUUGUUCCUAGUUGCCAUCGGGUCAUGCCGGGCACUCUAGGGAAACUGCCCCGGAAAACGGGGAGGAAGGUGGGGAUGACGUCAAGUCAUCAUGGCCUUUAUGCCCAGGGCUACACACGUGCUACAAUGGGCGGUACAAAGGGUCGCUAACCUGCGAGGGGGAGCCAAUCCCAAAAAGCCGCUCUCAGUUCGGAUUGCAGUCUGCAACUCGACUGCAUGAAGUUGGAAUCGCUAGUAAUCGCGGAUCAGCACGCCGCGGUGAAUACGUUCCCGGGCCUUGCACACACCGCCCGU
Molecule: ribosomal RNA, 498 nt
Filed under: uncultured bacterium
Lineage: Bacteria
Description: partial 16S ribosomal RNA
Rfam family: Bacterial small subunit ribosomal RNA
Source: RNAcentral